This 253-nucleotide ribosomal RNA is filed under the name uncultured bacterium. Its description in RNAcentral is "partial 16S ribosomal RNA". It matches the Rfam family "Bacterial small subunit ribosomal RNA", at positions 524 to 776 of the family's 1533-position model. The record is from RNAcentral.
UACAGAGGUCCCAAGCGCUGUUCGGAUUCAUUGGGCGUAAAGGGUGCGUAGGUGGCGCUGUAAGUCGGGUGUGAAAUUUCGGAGCUCAACUCCGAAACUGCAUUCGAUACUGCGGUGCUUGAGGACUGGAGAGGAGACUGGAAUUCAUGGUGUAGCAGUGAAAUGCGUAGAGAUCAUGAGGAAGACCAGUGGCGAAGGCGGGUCUCUGGACAGUUCCUGACACUGAGGCACGAAGGCCAGGGGAGCAAACGGG